CCCUUAGAUGUUCUGGGCUGCACACGUGCUACACUGGCAGGUUCAGCGAGCUUCAUGCCCUGAUCUGAAAGGAAUGGGAAAUCUUUUCAAAACCUGCCGUGCUUGGGAUAGAUGUUUGCAAUUAUUCAUCUUCAACGAGGAUUGCCUUGUAAGCGCACGUCAUCAGCGUGCAUUGAAUACGAUCCUGUAUUCUGUACACACCGCCCGUCGCUCCUACCGAUUGAAGUUUUCGGUGAGUUGACAGGAGGAUUUUUUUGAAACUGGUUCGCCAGUGGAUUUUAGAUCCAAAUGCCAACGAAUCGAUGGCUUUAGAGGAAGGAGAAGUCGUAACA
This 332-nucleotide ribosomal RNA is filed under the name uncultured eukaryote. Its description in RNAcentral is "partial 18S ribosomal RNA". It matches the Rfam family "Eukaryotic small subunit ribosomal RNA", at positions 1470 to 1796 of the family's 1831-position model. The record is from RNAcentral.